GACAUUAUGGCCGAGAGGUUAAGGCGUGAGACUCGAAAUCUCUUGGGCUCUGCCCGCGCAGGUUCGAAUCCUGCUGAUGUCG
Molecule: transfer RNA, 82 nt
Filed under: Eremothecium gossypii ATCC 10895
Lineage: Eukaryota; Fungi; Ascomycota; Saccharomycetes; Saccharomycetales; Saccharomycetaceae
Also listed under: 2 other names
Description: tRNA-Ser (CGA) (tRNA-Ser-CGA-3-1)
Rfam family: tRNA
About the family: Transfer RNA (tRNA) molecules are approximately 80 nucleotides in length.
Source: RNAcentral